CCUACGGGAGGCUGCAGUGAGGAAUAUUGGUCAAUGGUCGGGAGACUGAACCAGCCAAGCCGCGUGAGGGAGGAAGGUACAGAGUAUCGUAAACCUCUUUUGUCAGGGAACAAAGGCGGGGACGUGUCCCCGGAUGAGUGUACCUGAAGAAAAAGCAUCGGCUAACUCCGUGCCAGCAGCCGCGGUAAUACGGAGGAUGCGAGCGUUAUCCGGAUUUAUUGGGUUUAAAGGGUGCGCAGGCGGUCUGUUAAGUCAGCGGUAAAAGCCCGGGGCGCAACCCCGGCCCGCCGUUGAAACUGGCAGUCUCGAGUUGGAGAGAAGUAUGCGGAAGGCGCGGUGUAGCGGUGAAAUGCAUAGAUAUCGCGCAGAACUGCGAUUGCGAAGGCAGCAUGCCGGCUCCACACUGACGCUGAGGCACGAAAGCGUGGGUAUCGAACAGGAUUAGAUACCCCUGUAGUC
This 459-nucleotide ribosomal RNA is filed under the name uncultured bacterium. RNAcentral describes it as "partial 16S ribosomal RNA". It matches the Rfam family "Bacterial small subunit ribosomal RNA", at positions 338 to 795 of the family's 1533-position model. The record is from RNAcentral.